CUUAGGAAUGAUCUGAGUUAUUUAGAAGGGUCCCUGCAAGCAUGCUCCUCAAGGAAGGAGAAGAUGUUUUCCUUUGGGACCACCACAUGCUGUUUUACUAUGCUCUGAGCUAUGAAGCAGAAUAAAUAAUGACAGCUUGCUGUUUUUCUCCGAAGCUACACUGUGACGCCAACACUCCGACUGACCUAGAGAUGUCUGACAUGGGCCAACACAAAAGAAAGUGCAGCUAUGACCUGUUAACAAACCAUUCAUCCAUUUUAUUUAUUGAUCUUUUGUUUGACAGUAGCAGAACCACUGUUGUAUCGAGUAGGGUAAGGUGUUGUUUAAAUGAAAACAGAACUUUUAAAGUUUGAAGAAAUAAUUUUUUUAAAUGGAUCAUGACAAUGAUCAGUGUUGACUGAUUUGAGCAUUUUUAUCCUAAUGUUUUAGGCCACAUGUCAAGCCCUGCGAUCAACAGCGAAACGUGCAUCAAGGGUUGACCUAACAAGUGAAAGAUCCCGGUUCGAUCCCAGAAGGAGACAAAUCCCUUUGGGGUUGUGUCAGGAAGGGCAUUAAAAAUAAUACCAAGUAAAAGAUGCAGUUACUGUAGCGACUCUUUGUAAAUAAGGGGGCAGCUAAAAGUAGCUUUAAUUUUUUGCAGGUUAGGACAGUUUAAUUUUUUUUCCCUUUUAAUACGUAUGAAUUAACGAGGUCCUUCAGUUAUUCAAUCAACUGGUAAGCUAAAGGCAAAGGCUACUUUAUUAUAACAUCGCAUCUAUCAGGGAGAGAAGGCCAUCACAAUGUUUUUAUAGCGUAAUACGAAGUCAUCCAACAUUUCGGUGUACACUAAAUAUCGGUAGCUCUUACUGGGUGGAGAUAACCUAGCCGUUAAUAGUGCGCCAAACGUGUUUUGUGUUGUCACCGAAUCCUGAUACAUGCGUGUGUUUUUGUUUUCCAGCAGACGGACUUGGCGGGUUUGUUGCUAUUGUGUCCUGAUGCUUGUUUUAGAGGGUUUAUCAUCAACCUGGGUUUCUACUAACGGCUAGCUUGGUUAAGUAGUGCACUUUGGUGCUCAGACAUAUUUUCUGACAUGUAUAACGAGGAAUGCCACAAUAACAGCGCUCCCUCAUACUGUGCGCACUUUUAUAUCGGCCUGUGUGUUUACACUGAGAAAUGUUUAACUUGGCAUGACACAGCUAGCUACCCACUGGAACUGUUAGCAUUUAUCUGAAAGGGAAAACGUAAAACAGCUGUAAGCCAACGGUGAGGCCAGCUUACGUUAGCCACAUGCUAAAUACACUGGCAUGUGUUUGGCUACCGUGUGGACCUGCAGUGUUGGGGAAAAGGUGCUUGUCCUUGACCUCAUGGCCACCACUCCAAGAGGCACCAGGGGCGAGUGUUCAGUUUUUUGAACCAGAACUAUGUGGGACACACCUGGGCUGAACUGGUGCAGGCCGUGCAGGAGCAGGUGAGGAGCAGCAGUUUAGACCUGAAGAGGGCGCUGCAGAGCUGUGGAGCCGCUGUCCUCGGUGCUCACGGAGAGACCUCAUACAGUUACGGUGCAGAUACAGUUGGGAGAAAAAGCCACCUGACAGCAGACAUCUUUGUCAUUGCUACAGGAGAGAGACCGCAGUAUCUUGGCAUACCAGGGGACAGAGAGUACUGCCUAACUAGCUCAACUAACACACUAACUCUACAGCAAAAAAACAUCUAAAAUGUAUUGACCAUCACCUUAAAAUACAUUUCCUUCUUUCCUUCUACCUU
Oreochromis niloticus (Nile tilapia) is the source of this 1743-nucleotide long non-coding RNA. RefSeq annotates it as thioredoxin reductase 1, cytoplasmic. The transcript has 4 exons. The record is from RefSeq and is a predicted model, not a curated record. Lineage: Eukaryota; Metazoa; Chordata; Actinopteri; Cichliformes; Cichlidae.